RNAcentral lists this ribosomal RNA (497 nucleotides) under uncultured bacterium. RNAcentral's name for it is "partial 16S ribosomal RNA". It matches the Rfam family "Bacterial small subunit ribosomal RNA", at positions 28 to 507 of the family's 1533-position model. The record is from RNAcentral.
GAUGAACGCUGGCGGCGUGCCUAAUACAUGCAAGUCGAGCGAACGGACGCGAAGCUUGCUUCUCUGACGUUAGCGGAGGACGGGAGAGUCACACGUGUAUCCCCUCCUUAUAUGUCUGGGAUCUCUUCGGGAAAGCGGCGCUAAUCCCGGAUAAUCUUUUGCUCCGCAUGGUUCAAUAGUAAAAGUCGGUGUUGCUGUCACUUCUAGCUGCUUCCGCGCUGCUUUAGCUGGUUGGUACGGUCACGGCUUACCACGGCAACGAUGCAUAGCCGACGUGUCAGAGGGGUCGGCGACACGGGAACUGGGACACGGUCCAGACUCCUGAGGGAGGCAGCAGUAGGGAAUGGGCCGCAAUGGGCGAAAGCCUGACGGAGCAACGCCGCGUGAGUGAUGAAGGUGUUCGGAUCGGAAAACUCUGUUAUGAGUGAAGAACAGAUGUGGAAGGAACUGUGCACAGCGUGACGGUAACUAAUCAGAAAGCAACGGCUAACUACGUG